UGAAAAGUGGUGCAUCACCCAAUGGCUAGC
This 30-nucleotide non-coding RNA is filed under the name Homo sapiens (human). Lineage: Eukaryota; Metazoa; Chordata; Mammalia; Primates; Hominidae. The record is from RNAcentral.